CACGGGGGGAGCAAGCGUUGUUCGGCAUCACUGGGCGUAAAGGGCGUGUAGGCGGCUAGGCAAGUGAGAUGUGAAAUGCCUCGGCUCACCCGAGGCACUGCAUUCCAAACUGCUUGGCUUGAGUAUGGGAGAGGAUGAGGGAAUUCCUGGUGUAGCGGUGAAAUGCGUAGAUAUCAGGAGGAACACCGGUGGCGAAGGCGCUCAUCUGGCCCAAUACUGACGCUGAGGCGCGAAAGCUAGGGGAGCAAACGGG
Molecule: ribosomal RNA, 253 nt
Filed under: uncultured bacterium
Lineage: Bacteria
Description: partial 16S ribosomal RNA
Rfam family: Bacterial small subunit ribosomal RNA
Source: RNAcentral